GAUGAACGCUGGCGGCGUGCCUAAUACAUGCAAGUCGAGCGAGCAGACGAGGAGCUUGCUCCUCUGACGUUAGCGGCGGACGGGUGAGUAACACGUGGAUAACCUACCUAUCAGACUGGGAUAACUUCGGGAAACCGGAGCUAAUACCGGAUAAUCUAUUGAACCGCAUGGUUCAUUAGUGAAAGUCGGUUUUGCUGUCUCUUAUAGAUGGAUCCGCGCCGCAUGAGCUAGUUGGUAAGGUAACGGCUUACCAAGGCGACGAUGCGUAGCCGACCUGAGAGAGGGAUCGGCCACACUGGAACUGGAACACGGUCCAGACGCCUACGAGAGGCAGCAGUAGGGAAUCUUCCGCAAUGGGCGAAAACCCGACGGAGCAACGCCGCGUGAGUGAUGAAGGUCUUCGGAUCGUAAAACUCUGUUAUUAGGGAAGAACAAAUGUGUAAGUAACUAUGCACGUCUUGACGGUACCUAAUCAGAAAGCCACGGCUAACUACGUG
Molecule: ribosomal RNA, 497 nt
Filed under: uncultured bacterium
Lineage: Bacteria
Description: partial 16S ribosomal RNA
Rfam family: Bacterial small subunit ribosomal RNA
Source: RNAcentral